GACGAACGCUGGCGGCGUGCUUAACACAUGCAAGUCGUACGGUAAGGCCCUUUCGGGGGUACACGAGUGGCGAACGGGUGAGUAACACGUGAGUAACCUGCCCACAACUUUGGGAUAACGCUAGGAAACUGGUGCUAAUACUGGAUAUGUGCUCCUGCUGCAUGGUGGGGGUUGGAAAGCUCCGGCGGUUGUGGAUGGACUCGCGGCCUAUCAGCUUGUUGGUGGGGUAGUGGCCUACCAAGGCGGCGACGGGUAGCCGGCCUGAGAGGGUGACCGGCCACAUUGGGACUGGGAUACGGCCCAGACUCCUACGGGAGGCAGCAGUGGGGAAUAUUGCACAAUGGGCGCAAGCCUGAUGCAGCAACGCCGCGUGCGGGAUGACGGCCUUCGGGUUGUAAACCGCUUUCAGCAGGGACGAAGCUUUUUGUGACGGUACCUGCAGAAGAAGCACCGGCUAACUACGUG
This 465-nucleotide ribosomal RNA is filed under the name uncultured bacterium. Its description in RNAcentral is "partial 16S ribosomal RNA". It matches the Rfam family "Bacterial small subunit ribosomal RNA", at positions 28 to 507 of the family's 1533-position model. The record is from RNAcentral.